UGUGUGUGUGUGUGUGUGUACAUACAUAUCAUUCAAAAUGUUUAAUCACAUUCACAUCCAUCUUUGGUCCAAAAGCCAGGGCUUUAUUUCAAAAUGAAGAAGAAGAGGGACACAAAAAGCCCAUAAAUCACAUUAACAAAAUUGAAUAUCAGCCAACCAAGAUGCAUGAUCCAACCCAGAAAAAUAUAAUCAAAUGUACAAGUGCAAAAGCGUAGCUCCCAGAGUAAACUAUAGUUAAAAACAAUAGAAGUAUGAUAAUUGCAUGCAACCCCCAAAUAAAUUAAGGAGAUAUAUAAAGAUAGAACUAGAUGUUGAGAGACUGAAAACUAAACAUACAGAGUAUCUGUAGGAA
RNAcentral lists this unclassified non-coding RNA (352 nucleotides) under Hevea brasiliensis (rubber tree). Lineage: Eukaryota; Viridiplantae; Streptophyta; Magnoliopsida; Malpighiales; Euphorbiaceae. The record is from RNAcentral.